GACGAACGCUGGCGGCGUGCCUAAUACAUGCAAGUAGAACGCUGAAGCUUGGUGCUUGCACCGAGCGGAUGAGUUGCGAACGGGUGAGUAACGCGUAGGUAACCUGCCUGGUAGCGGGGGAUAACUAUUGGAAACGAUAGCUAAUACCGCAUAAGAGUAGAUGUUGCAUGACAUUUGCUUAAAAGGUGCAAUUGCAUCACUACCAGAUGGACCCGCGUUGUAUUAGCUAGUUGGUGAGGUAACGGCUCACCAAGGCAACGAUACAUAGCCGACCUGAGAGGGUGAUCGGCCACACUGGGACUGAGACACGGCCCAGACUCCUACGGGAGGCAGCAGUAGGGAAUAUUCGGCAAUGGACGGAAGUCUGACCGAGCAACGCCGCGUGAGUGAAGAAGGUUUUCGGAUCGUAAAGCUCUGUUGUAAGAGAAGAACGAGUGUGAGAGUGGAAAGUUCACACUGUGACGGUAUCUUACCAGAAAGGGACGGCUAACUACGUG
RNAcentral lists this ribosomal RNA (497 nucleotides) under uncultured bacterium. RNAcentral's name for it is "partial 16S ribosomal RNA". It matches the Rfam family "Bacterial small subunit ribosomal RNA", at positions 28 to 507 of the family's 1533-position model. The record is from RNAcentral.